This 71-nucleotide transfer RNA is filed under the name Stegodyphus mimosarum. It matches the Rfam family "tRNA". From Rfam's summary of the family: Transfer RNA (tRNA) molecules are approximately 80 nucleotides in length. Their secondary structure includes four short double-helical elements and three loops (D, anti-codon, and T loops). The record is from Rfam by way of RNAcentral. Lineage: Eukaryota; Metazoa; Arthropoda; Arachnida; Araneae; Eresidae.
GCCUUCGUGGUGUAACGAUAACACACUCGACCCGUAUUCGAGAGGUCCAGGUUCGAGUCCCGGGGAGGGCA